AACAUACCACCUCAUAGGGAAGCCUUUUCUCAAUCUAUGUCGAUCACAUGCCACGGAAGCAUCACUUGUCCUCAAUGCAAAUUCUUUUUUAAACAAAUGGACACAUAUUUAUGUUAUGUGAUGGAAACAUUUUUAGUGAAAGACUUUUUCAAGUUGGUGGAAACACGUUCCAUGUGAGACACUUCAUACAGUUUUUUUUUGAAAAAAUGCCCAUAUUUUUUUAAAAUAACAAAGCUUCAUUGGUUAUCAUCGGAUUCCUUAUAUUGCUUCCAACAAAACAAAUAUAUUUUCCAAAUAUAACUCUUUAUUACUAUUUUAACAGUGUUGGUCUGAACAGAUUGGAAUUUUGCUUCCAAUUAUAUUAGAAUAGGCAUCCAAAGCAAGUCCCCUCUGCUUCCAUAUAAAACUAGCCAUCUAGGCAUAAUGCACCAUCGGCCGGUGAUCGCAUGAUGGCACUUGUCCUUCCUAUAUAUGAUGGUUGUGCUUCCUUUCUAUGGCGUCCGUCCAUCCUGGCGAUGGUGUCCAUCCAAUGGCGACGGUGCUUCCUUCCAGUGGUAGGCAUGCUUCCCACGUUAUAAUGGUGGAUGUGCUUUCUUUGUUGUCUGACAGCCUAGGGGAUCGCAGAGGAGCGGCAUGAAUGGAGCGACUCUGGUGCACUGUUAACCGAGGGUCGUGCUUUCUUCAAAUGGUGGGUGUGCUUUUUUCAAAUGGUGGAUGUGUUCUCUUCUGCUACUGGUCCAAGAGAUAGGAACAAUGUCAAUAUGGGUACGUGCUUCCUUGUGAUGGUGGUCGUGCAUCCUUCUUGAUGAUCCUCCUGCUCCCUUGUGAUAAAGCAUGCAUUGGAUAUACAUGAAGCAUCGAAUAUCAGUAGCAAAAAACAUGGUGAUGAAGCACGUAUUGGAUAUAUAUGAAGCAUCGAAUCUGUGUAGAAAAAAGAAGAAGAAAGAAAACUUGCAUAUAAUCGAUCAGUACAUAAGAACUAUACGAG
This 988-nucleotide long non-coding RNA is filed under the name Hordeum vulgare. Its description in RNAcentral is "long non-coding RNA (HVUL_LNC010055)". The record is from RNAcentral. Lineage: Eukaryota; Viridiplantae; Streptophyta; Magnoliopsida; Poales; Poaceae.